RNAcentral lists this ribosomal RNA (465 nucleotides) under uncultured bacterium. RNAcentral describes it as "partial 16S ribosomal RNA". It matches the Rfam family "Bacterial small subunit ribosomal RNA", at positions 338 to 795 of the family's 1533-position model. The record is from RNAcentral.
CCUACGGGGCGCAGCAGUGGGGAAUCUUCCGCAAUGGGCGCAAGCCUGACGGAGCAAUGCCGCGUGAACGAAGAAGGUCUUCGGAUUGUAAAGUUCUGUCCUUAUCGAAGAGAGAGUAUAGAGUGAAAAAUGAUAUACUAGGACGGUAGAUGAGGAGGAAGCCCCGGCUAACUACGUGCCAGCAGCCGCGGUAAUACGGAGGAUGCGAGCGUUAUCCGGAUUUAUUGGGUUUAAAGGGUGCGUAGGCGGAUUUUUAAGUCAGCGGUAAAAUGUCCGGGCUCAACCCGGGCCGGCCGUUGAAACUGGGGAUCUUGAGUGGGCGAGAAGUAUGCGGAAUGCGUGGUGUAGCGGUGAAAUGCAUAGAUAUCACGCAGAACUCCGAUUGCGAAGGCAGCAUACCGGCGCCCGACUGACGCUGAGGCACGAAAGCGUGGGGAUCGAACAGGAUUAGAUACCCUUGUAGUC